RNAcentral lists this ribosomal RNA (254 nucleotides) under uncultured bacterium. RNAcentral's name for it is "partial 16S ribosomal RNA". It matches the Rfam family "Bacterial small subunit ribosomal RNA", at positions 524 to 776 of the family's 1533-position model. The record is from RNAcentral.
UACAGAGGGUGCGAGCGUUGUUCGGAAUUACUGGGCGUAAAGCGCGCGCAGGCGGCCUUUUAAGUCUGACGGUGAAAUGCCGGGGCUCAACCCCGUGCCCGCCGGAGAUACUGGGAGGCUGGAGACGAGUAGAGGCAAGCGGAAUUCCAGGUGUAGCGGUGAAAUGCGUAGAUAUCUGGAGGAACACCGGUGGCGAAGGCGGCAUCCUGGACCAUUACUGACACUGAAAAGCGAAAGCCAGGGGAGCAAACGGG